UGUUGUUCUUUUUUUUUGGU
RNAcentral lists this microRNA (20 nucleotides) under Corchorus olitorius. RNAcentral describes it as "ssc-miR-36". The record is from RNAcentral. Lineage: Eukaryota; Viridiplantae; Streptophyta; Magnoliopsida; Malvales; Malvaceae.